This 1511-nucleotide ribosomal RNA is filed under the name metagenome. RNAcentral describes it as "bacterial SSU rRNA". It matches the Rfam family "Bacterial small subunit ribosomal RNA". The record is from RNAcentral.
UGGUUCAGACAUGCAAGUCGAGCGAUCUGUUAUCUGGAGUAAUCCGGGUAUCAGAGAGCGGCGUAAGGGAGAGUAAUGAGUAGAUAACGUACCCUCAGCUCGGGGAUAACCGCGGUGGCUUCGGUCACCUCGCGAAAGUGCGGAUAAUACCCGAUGAUCUUCAAGGGUUUUGUGCCCUUGUAGCAAAGGUGGGGCUCCUUCGGGACCUGCCGGCAGAGGAGCGGUCUACUUCCCAUCAGCUUGUUGGUGAGGUAAUGGCUCACCAAGGCGACGACGGGUAGCCGGCCUGAGAGGGUGUUCGGCCUCACUGGGACUGAGACACUGCCCAGAGCCCUACGGGGUGCUGCAGUUUCGAAUCGUUCGCAAUGCGCGAAAGCGUGACGACGCGACGCCGCGUGCGGGAGGAAGGCCUUCGGGUUGUAAACCGCUUUUAGGGGGUAUGAAGAGAUCGGGGUCAAUAGCCCCGUGAUCUGACGUCAACCCCAGUAUAAGCUCCGGCUAACUUCGUGCCAGCAGCCGCGGUAAGACGAAGGGAGCGAGCGUUGUUCGGUAUCACUGGGCUUAAAGAGCGCGUAGGCGGUCGGAUGGGUCGGUUGUGAAAUCCCUGGGCUCAACUCAGGAAUUGCUUCCGAAACUAUUCGACUUGAGGCAUUCUGGGGGCGACUGGAACUCUUGGUGGAGCGGUGAUAUGCGUAGAUAUCAAGAGGAACGCCAGUGGUGAAGACGGGUCGCUGGGAAUGUCCUGACGCUGAGGCGCGAAAGCUAGGGGAGCGAACGGGAUUAGAUACCCCGGUAGUCCUAGCCGUAAACGAUGUGCACUAGGCUGCGGUAGUUCUGACACUGUCGCGGCCGUAGCAAAAGUGUUAAGUGCACCGCCUGGGGAGUACGGUCGCAAGGCUAAAACUCAAAGGAAUUGACGGGGGCUCACACAAGCGGUGGAGGAUGUGGCUCAAUUCGAAACAACGCGAAGAACCUUAUCCUGGGUUUGACAUGCACGGAUGAAACCUGUGAAAGCAGGGGACUGCCCGCAAGGGUGAAACGUGCACAGGUGCUGCAUGGCUGUCGUCAGCUCGUGCUGCGAAGUGUCGGGUUAAGUCCCUUAACGAGCGAAACCCUUGUCGUUAGUUACCAGCGGGUCAUGCCGGGAACUCUAACGAGACUGCCGGUGUUAAACCGGAGGAAGGUGGGGAUGACGUCAAGUCCUCAUGGCCUUUAUGCCCAGGGCUGCACACGUCCUACAAUGGGAUGGACAAAGGGUUGCGAAACCGCGAGGUCAAGCUAAUCCCAAAAACCAUCUCCCAGUCCGGAUUGCAGGCUGCAACUCGCCUGCAUGAAGUCGGAAUCGCUAGUAAUCGCGGAUCAGCAUGCCGCGGUGAAUAUGUUCCUGAGCCUUGUACACACCGCCCGUCAAGCCAUGGGAGCUGGUAGUACCCGAAGUCGCUGACCCAACCCCUCGGGGAGGGAGGUGCCGACGGUAAGACCGGUGACUGGGGCUAAGUCGUAACAAGGUA